This 773-nucleotide ribosomal RNA is filed under the name uncultured Neocallimastigales. Its description in RNAcentral is "partial large subunit ribosomal RNA". It matches the Rfam family "Eukaryotic large subunit ribosomal RNA", at positions 24 to 621 of the family's 3401-position model. The record is from RNAcentral. Lineage: Eukaryota; Fungi; Neocallimastigomycota; Neocallimastigomycetes; Neocallimastigales.
UAGUCUCGCACAGAUGCAUAUCAAUAAGCGGAGGAAAAGAAACUAACAAGGAUUCCCCUAGUAACGGCGAGUGAAGCGGGAAGAGCUCAAAUUUGAAAUCUUAAAGGGUUUCCCUUUACGAAUUGUAGUUUAAAGAAGUGUUUUCUGUUGAGGUUUUGGUAAAAGUUCUCUGGAAUAGGACAUCAUAGAGGGUGAGAAUCCCGUAUUUGACCUUUACUUUCAACUUUGUGAUACACUUUCAAAGAGUCGGAUUGUUUGGGAAUGCAGUCCAAAAUGGGUGGUAAAUUUCAUCUAAAGCUAAAUAUUGGCGAGAGACCGAUAGCGAACAAGUACCGUGAGGGAAAGAUGAAAAGAACUUUGAAAAGAGAGUUAAACAGUACGUGAAAUUGUCAAAAGGGAAGCGUUUGACACCAGUGUUGUUUUUCUGAAAAUCAAUUAAAGAACUGUUUAUGCUAAGUUGUUUAGACUUUAUCAGCUAUCUGCUUAGUUUUGAGCUUUUCUUUAAUGCACUUUUCAGUUAACAAGUCAACAUCAAUUUCUUUUGCUGUAAAAAAGCUUGAGGAAGGUGGCUUGAGAUUCGUCUUAAGUGUUUAUAGCCUCUUGCCUAUGCAGUCGGAGAGAUUGAGGUCUGCAGCGUAGAUCCUUCGGGGCUAAAUGCAUUUGUGCUAAGUUAUAGCAUUUUAUAGACAACUUGUUGACUAUGAUUUGUCUUGUAGCUUACUCGCUUAUGUUAUUUUACCUACGCUUAGGAUGUUGAACUCUAUCACACACAG